RNAcentral lists this ribosomal RNA (301 nucleotides) under uncultured bacterium. Its description in RNAcentral is "partial 16S ribosomal RNA". It matches the Rfam family "Bacterial small subunit ribosomal RNA", at positions 509 to 807 of the family's 1533-position model. The record is from RNAcentral.
CAGCAGCCGCGGGAAAACGGAGGGUGCAAGCGUUAAUCGGAAUUACUGGGCGUAAAGCGCACGCAGGCGGUCUGACAAGUCAGAUGUGAAAUCCCCGGGCUUAACCUGGGAACUGCAUUUGAAACUGUCAGGCUGGAGUCUUGUAGAGGGGGGUGGAAUUCCAGGUGUAGCGGUGAAAUGCGUAGAGAUCUGGAGGAAUACCGGUGGCGAAGGCGGCCCCCUGGACAAAGACUGACGCUCAGGUGCGAAAGCGUGGGGAGCAAACAGGAUUAGAGACCCCUGUAGUCCCUGUCUCUUAUAC